GUGUGUGUGUGUGUGUGUGUGUGUGUGUGUGUGUGUGUGUGUGUGUGUGUGUGUGUGUGUGUGUGUGUGUGUGUGUGUGUGUGUGUGUGCGACCAGUGAACAGUAGCGGAUCAUAAAGGAAGAAAACAAAUUUCUCUCAAAAAACAAGGCCGUGGGGUUAUUGUGGAGCAGAGAGACGCUGGGGUAAAAUGACACUAUUAGUACACAGUUCCCUGAAAGUAUUGAUGUAGGUGGACAAGUUGGUGAAGAAGGUGUUUGGCACUCUUGCCCACAUCAGCUGGGCUAUUGGUUCAAAGAAUUGGGAUUCAUGUUACAGUUGUAUAAGAUGUUGCUGAGAAUGCACCAGGAAAUUGUGUGCUAUUCUGGUUGUCCAGCUGUAGGAAGGAUGUGAUGGAGGGUUCAGUAAAGAUUCACAAGGACUGCAUGUAUCAGAACUGGCUGUGUGUUACUGUAUAAGAAGGGACUUGAAAUGUUGGGUCUGUUUCCGUUGAACUGAAGUUGGUUUCAGGGUGAGUAUUUAGAGGUGUAUAAAACCACGUGAGGCAUAGGUAGGGUAGAAGGGUUCAGUGCAGAGGAGUGUAAAACCAGAGGGCAUAGGUUUAAGGUAAUUGUAAUUAUAAUUGUAAAUCUUUAUUGUCAUUUCCUGAGUAUUCGCAUACUCAGAGGAAACAAAAAAACGUUUCUCAACCAGUGUCCGUUCAGUUUUCGUUACAAAAUAAAUAGCAAUUAAAAUUAAAAUACAGUCAUGAACAAUUUAACCCUCUAAUCACAUUCAAUAACAUUCAACAGCCGUUCCGACCGGCAGCGGCACAACAGUGGCUCUGCUGCAGUGUGGGGGGUUUGUGCGCGAUACUUGGCAGGGGCGAAACUUCAUUUAACAGUCUUAUAGCCUGUGGGAAGAAGCUGAGAAGCUGAGGCGACAGAUAGCACAAUGGGCUAAGAGUUCGGCUGGCGACCGGAAGGUAGCCGGUUCAAAUCCUGCUUGGAGUGCAUACUGUCGUUGUGUCCUUGGGCAAGACACUUCACCCAUCUUUGCCUGUAAUGGAAUGUACGGCGGCAGGCGCGGGCACACCGCGACGCCCUGUGUCUCCCUUUCAAGGGAGAUGCUAAAAAUGCAUUUCGUUGUCUCUGUACUGUACACUGACAAUGACAAUAAAUUGAAUCAUUUCAUUUUUUUCAUUUCAUCCUGCUGGUUUUGCAGCUGAUGCUCCUGUACCUCUUCCCAGAUGGGAGGAUGGUGAAAAAGUCAUGUGAUGGGUGGUAAGGGUCUUUGAUGAUGGAGAUGGCUCUGUUGAUGCAUCUCUUCUUGUAUAUGUCCAGCAGGAAGGGUAGUGGAGCACCAAUAAUCCUGCUUGCGGUCCUCACAGGUGCAAGAGGAACAAGAUACAGGGGACAGCAAGUUUUGCCAAUGAAGAUGCCAGAGGAAGGAACACAGACAGGAGCAACCGGUUCCUUGGAAACAGAGGAGACUAGUAGUUUAAUACAAGGAAACUGUGACCCCGGCUGGAAUUAUUUUGAAAGAACCUGUCACCGUUAUUACAGUGAGAAAAGGACCUGGAAAAGUUCUCUGGACGCUUGCAGAGAACUAGCACAUGCACAAUAUCUGGUUACUGUGACCUCGGCCAAACACAGCAAAUUUAUUAUGCAAGUGAUUGGUAAAGUGGAAGGUGCGUGCAGAGCUAAACCGCAUGCUUGGAUUGGCCUCAAAAUACAGGUACAGUUAAUGAUGACACGUUAGCUUACAGGUCGUCAAACAUUGGCCAGACCUGCAUUUGUUGUCCUUCCCUGACCAUCCACUGCCCUUUUCAAAGGGCAGGUUACAGUCAACACAUUGAUGGAUCUCUGGUGUCACAUCGUUGUUCAGGGAUAGAAUUACACAUUAUGCCCUGCAGAGUAACAGGGCACGGCAGUGUAAUGGUUAAGUUACUCUGUGAUAUCCUCGUGAUUCAGGCACACGAGUUUGAAUCCCAUCCCAGACACCGGGGAAUUUGGAUCCAAGUAAAUAAACUGCAAUCACUCUGAAGUAACAAGUUACCAUCAGUAAUGGGGACUGAAACUACUGGACUGUUAUAAAAACUCAUCUGAUUCACUGUUGUCCUUCAGGGUAAAA
Leucoraja erinaceus (little skate) is the source of this 2110-nucleotide RNA transcript. It is a transcript of the gene named snaclec alboaggregin-D subunit alpha-like, with no coding region annotated. The transcript is spliced from 3 exons. The record is from RefSeq and is a predicted model, not a curated record. NCBI's taxonomy places the organism in Eukaryota, Metazoa, Chordata, Chondrichthyes, Rajiformes, Rajidae.